GACGAACGCUGGCGGCGUGCUUAACACAUGCAAGUCGAACGGAAAGGCCCUGCUUUUGUGGGGUGCUCGAGUGGCGAACGGGUGAGUAACACGUGAGUAACCUGCCCUUGACUUUGGGAUAACUUCAGGAAACUGGGGCUAAUACCGGAUAGGAGCUCCUGCUGCAUGGUGGGGGUUGGAAAGUUUCGGCGGUUGGGGAUGGACUCGCGGCUUAUCAGCUUGUUGGUGGGGUAGUGGCUUACCAAGGCUUUGACGGGUAGCCGGCCUGAGAGGGUGACCGGCCACAUUGGGACUGAGAUAGGGCCCAGACUCCUACGGGAGGCAGCAGUGGGGAAUAUUGCACAAUGGGCGGAAGCCUGAUGCAGCAACGCCGCGUGCGGGAUGACGGCCUUCGGGUUGUAAACCGCUUUCGCCUGUGACGAAGCGUGAGUGACGGUAAUGGGUAAAGAAACACCGGCUAACUACGU
This 467-nucleotide ribosomal RNA is filed under the name uncultured bacterium. Its description in RNAcentral is "partial 16S ribosomal RNA". It matches the Rfam family "Bacterial small subunit ribosomal RNA", at positions 28 to 506 of the family's 1533-position model. The record is from RNAcentral.